This is a long non-coding RNA of Canis lupus familiaris (dog), 1704 nucleotides long. RefSeq lists it as uncharacterized. The record is from RefSeq and is a predicted model, not a curated record. NCBI's taxonomy places the organism in Eukaryota, Metazoa, Chordata, Mammalia, Carnivora, Canidae. The transcript has 3 exons.
AGGUAUAAUUGAUAUACUUCGCAUGUAAUAAGCUUGGGCACAUGCAUAUAAUAGUUAUAUCACCACAACCAAGGUGCAAAAACAUGUUCAUCACCUCCCUAAACUUCCUUGUGUUCUUUUGUGUCUGUGUGUUAUUUUUGAUUUUGCCUUGGUGAGAACCAUUAACACCUUUAACCUUUAACCUUACCACAGUUUAAAAUACAUAAUACUGUAUUGUUGGCUGUGUUGCACAACACAGCUCUAGAACCUACUCAUUUGCAUAGCAGAAACUUCACACCCAUUGAAAAUCAAUUCCUUAUCUUCUUCCUUCCUCUAUUCCACUCAGAAUUUGGACCAGUUCUUGUGUCUUUGGUGUUGAACAAUUCUAGAUUCUAGAAUCUAGGUCUUCCUUUAAUAUCUGGUCAUCAGAGAGGAUAUCCUCCUGUCUCCUCUGGCCAUAAUCAUUGGCUUCAAAUUAUCUACUCCCCCUUCUUCACUUAGAUCCCAAACUACUCUCGUUGGCUUUUUAAAAAGUUUAAUUCUCGAUCUGGUCUAUAUUUCCUGUCUCUGAGAGACCCACUCAGAUUUGACAUGGUUUGCUGUUGUUUUUACUUUUCUUGAACUGUUUGGAUUUCAGUUCUUUUGAGGAACAUUACUUCAAAAUAGUAACUAUGUUCAGUUACCCCUAACUUUCUCUGAAUUUGUAAGACAAGUGCAUUCUUCGGUAGAGUUGGAGGAUGUACUAUCUAGAGAAAUCCAAGUUAAUACCUUUUCUUUUGGGUUUCAAAGGUGAAAUUGAAACCUAAACAAUAGAUUUGAAGACUAUUUGCUAAGCCUGGUUUGUUUCUCCAUAGAAGGAAGAAAAAUCACCUGUCUAAGGCAAGUCAAAUGGAAAAUUCAAUGAGUAGCCAUUGUGAUGCUCCCAGAGGGGGCGUGGAGGGCUACCUUUUUCUUCUGAGCAGUGUUCUGGAGUGGGUUGGAGAAAAUACUAGCUGUUUAGUGAACAUAAUUUAAUCAUCGAUGAUUCAGGAUCAGGAUGAUUCAGAGUCAUCAUGAAGAAGGUGAAUUAUCAUUGUACCAUUGUGAAGAAAGUGAGAAGACUGGACUGAAUCCAAACUGACCUCAGGGCUUCCCUGGAAGUUAUUUCUUGAAGAAACUUCUGAUGAUGGCUCACUUCUCCUAGAAGAUUUGAGUGCAGAAGGAAAAAAAACCCUCUCUGAAGCUUCUAAGAUGCCUGAGACUGAACCUGACUCUUGCACUGCCACUCUUACCCCCAGAUCUGGAAUUUAAUACAUCUGGGACCCGUGGACUUUGUUGCUGGAUGGUACACAAGGAAUAUGUCUGUAGCUAUCAGCUUGGAGUAGAGAGAAGGAGAGAGGCCUUCAAAUCAAGCAGAUCGAAAAAAAAAAUAAAAAAAUAAAAAAAAUCAAGCAGAUCUGGCUUUGCACCUAGGCUGAUUGGUCUUGGCAAUUUUCUUGUUUUCUGGAAACCAUAGUUUCCUCAUCUUUAAAAUGCAGAUGAUAAAACUCAAAGUACUUGGUUGCUGUGAGGAUAAAAUGAAAGAAUCGAUGUAAGUUGGCAAGUGCAUUGCCAAACAGCGUGGCCACUCUCUCACCUCUUACUUCUUCUUUUGUGUCCUUCAGUUUCUUUGAUGAUCUACAGUAAGAGUCACAAAAUAUGGUGCAUGCCACAUCUGGCCCUCUACCUCUUUUUGUAAAUAAAGUU